Anguilla rostrata (American eel) is the source of this 3693-nucleotide long non-coding RNA. RefSeq lists it as uncharacterized. The transcript has 5 exons. NCBI's taxonomy places the organism in Eukaryota, Metazoa, Chordata, Actinopteri, Anguilliformes, Anguillidae. The record is from RefSeq and is a predicted model, not a curated record.
AUCGUAAGGGCAGCAGGGGCAGCCUUCAGUUCGAAUGGAUGUUCCCUUCUCCAGGACCGAUCCUUGUUUGAUUGCUGUUAAACGUGAAGUGUUUUUGUCUCAAUUUAUUUGUGUUCAGUUAUUGGUUGGACGUUAUCUAGAGAGAUUUACACAAAAAGCGCGUCAUGAAAAAUGCAUAUUCUGCAGGUGCUCUGUCAACAGCGCGGUUAUGGAGCUUCUGAUUACUCUCACAAACAAACGCGCACACAAUUAGUUUUUUUCGGAAAGUGUUUCACAAAUACCAUGACGUAACACGCAGGCACAUUACUUAUUUAAUUACAGGAUAAAGCCUUUCUUAAAGUUAUGGCCAACCCGAGGCAAAGGAGGAGUGGUGUAGAGCGGAAAUCGGACAGAGAAAGACGGUGCAAUGAUUGGAAUAUUCUGUAGGCCGCAAACGGGGAUUAAAUCGGACAAACGUGUCGGACAAGAUGGAUCCAUACUUUGCACGUUAACGCGUGUUUGUUGAAACUUGGUUUACAGCGUUUGUAUUAAGGCAGUGAACGGUGAUACGUUGGUGUACACCCGGCGAGUGAGCUGUGUCGUUUAAAAAAAACGUUUGUGGAAGUUUGAGUUUCAAGAAAGUCAAACAACAGAAAGACAUCAGGCUGCCUGUUGGAAAAAAAUGACGCUCCGGCAAGCGUUUUCCGAAACUGCUCCAAAAUUAAAUGGAGGGAAAAGAAGCAAACGCUAGCCCCCGACAAAAGGCCGGAAGACGGAGCUGGUGUGGGAUAAUGGACAGCUUCCUACAACUCGGGUGUGUGCGUGUGUGUCUAAUUGAGAAACUUGGUGCUUACUUCUGAGCGAAUCGCAUCAAAGAGGUGGAAAAAUAGAACGGAGAUCAUUCAGAACCACAAACCACAGAGACACAUUGAAGAACAAAGCAAGGGAAUUGAAGUUUCACUUGAAAUGACCAGCUACUUUUCCUCUCACCCCCGACCGGAAAUCAGUCCAGAGGAGCUGGAGCUAGCAGCCAGAUAAUGAAAAUCCGGCUAGACCAAACGAGAAAAAGAAGCCUGCAGAUGGUAACUGGAGAUAUAGCACAGAAGACAGCGGUCAGAGUCUCCACAGCUUCCUUGCUUAAUUUAACAGUUCCUAAGUUGCUGAGAGAGGACUUUGCAGUGGCAGGACCCUUGUGGAACAGACAGACUGUGGAAUGGAUUACCUACGCACCGCAGCAGGCUUUCGACAGUUGAAGAAUUGAUCUGCCAUUCAAAAUUAAGGUAUCCCCCAUUUUUACAGCUAGAAGAAGGUGGAAAGGCAUUGAUGUCCACAGAAAGAACAGCAUGUUCCCUCUGAGUUAAUGUAGAUACUGUAUACAUACUAGCUCGCCUGUUUCCCUUUAAACACAUCUAUGCAAUCCCCUUGAAUGGUCAUGCCAUUAUAAAAUAUAUGGCAUAUAUUUUACUUGUUGUGAGAGGUUUAUGUUUUCCAUUUGUGUUGCAAAGAUUUGCAUUUUUAUUAAGUAUUUGACAAAUGUACUACAACAUAGAUCUUGUUAACUUUUGCAAGCAAUACCUGGGGCAAUGUGUAGUUCGAGUGUUUUUUAUUUCAUGAUUUUGGAGAGUCCAGGAUAAGCUAGCUUAGUUGAUGUGUUCCUUUGGAAUGAAUAAUAAGGAAAUGUAACUGCGGACAUUGAGGUUAGUAGCCUGGCAGGAAGUGGAGUUAUUGGCAAGCCAUUACACUCCACUGCCAACAUUGUAUUCCACUGCAAACAACAAAUUAUUUCCUGUCAUGUGAUUUUACAAAUGCAGUGCUAGUUUCUUAGCUGACUGCAUUCAUUUUGAAUGCAAUACUAUUUGCUUUCUGUCUCGGUUCAUUGAAGUUACCAGUAGUGUCAUGUUAAAAGUUAAUUCAUGAAACUGUCAAUAUAUAGAAUUAUAUCCAGGAGGCACAGUUGGUGAGUGGAUCGUGAUGUACAAGGGUUUGAGAGAAUUACUCAUAAAAGUCAUGUGAACGUCAUUCAUUUUAUGUGCCUCCCACUGAUUCUCAUAGUGAAUCAGACACUUUAUUUAGUCCAAACCCCGCUGUCUAAAAGCAUUAUAAAGAUGAAUCAUUUUUAUCCUAUUUGCUGUACACUUCAACACUUCCCACAUGUAGCAAUAGGAUUAUUAGCAACAGCAAUGACCUGCACCGUUUUGUGUGUACUGGAGGCUUUAAGUAGAAAGAAGUGUGAAGUUUCAUGUGUGUUUGUUUGGACCUGGGAAUAUGGUGGUCAGUUUCAUGAUCCAGUGUUUUUCUACCCUAUGUCUGUCCUCUGGUGUCCAGUUAGUGUUUUUUUGAAGGCCCAAUAGUUCUAGUGCCUCAGGCCCAUGGUGAAGGAGAUGGGCCACUAGGUGUGUGUCUGUCCCAAAUUUAUAAAUGUUCCAUAAAUGCAUUUAUUUGAAUAUAUUUACACUUAACAUAAGUUUUAAACAAAGUUUAACCAACACAUUUCACUUGUCCCUAAGUAGAUUCUACAAAUACAAAUGUCUCAUGACUCAGCAAUAAUAAUACAUUUCUUUCAGAACUUAUCACUACACCAUAUAGUUUUAUAUUCCAUAGUUUUAGUCACAUUAUAAUAUGUAUUCACAUCUCUAUUACAUAUACAUUUCCCCAUGAACCAUUAGCUACAGCAAAUUUGUAUUUGUAAAAAAAGAUGUUGUGUUUUUGUAAUGUGCAUCAAUUCCCUACAAACUGCUAAUUUAAACUAGACUCAUUUAACCUGUGAAAAUAAAUUAGUGAAAAUCAGAUUUUAUUUAACAAUUACAUUCAUACAUUUUUCAUGAGGCCACCCCUGCUUGGUUCUUUGAUUUGAUCUACUCCAUCAAGCAUUUUAUCUUCCAGAAAGUUUGUUGUUUUACUUUGGUUCUUCCCAUGCAAACUCUUUUGAAACUUUUAAACUUUCAAAAUGUUUUUUUUUAUUUUUUGUUAUUAAAGUAAUGCAUUUAAUAAUGCUCUUUUUGAUAUAGCAAGAACUGAGAAACUGUGGAAUAUGUUUCAGUUCAGGAUGAUUUCUAAUUGAAGUUUAUUAGAUUGUUAAGAGAAAGUCAUAAAUCAUCAUGAACCACAGCACAAUAUAUUUAGAUUAAACACAGUCAAGCGUGGGAAAGCACUGGCUUCACAGUAAAUCUUAACAAAACACAUAAGUUCAAUGAGCACUCAAAUACCAAUGUUCCAAAAUAUUUUUUCCUCACAGUGAAUUAUAAUGGCACUCUAUUCCCAGCACACCCACAACUACAGUAAGUACCAUGCUAUGUUACAACACCUGCCCCAAUGAUGGGGCUUUUAAAUGUUGGCUUGAUAUGAUAUCCUUUUGUGAACAUUUCACUUAUGUUGAUGGGACUUGUUAGAGCUUCAUGAAGAGUAGAACAGUUGUGUUGCAAGGUACAGUUUUCUUGCUUGCUUGUCUCAUCUCCCUACACGCUCCCUACAUGGCUCUCUCAGCUCUUGCUGAAUUUUUAGAUUUUGUAGAAGACUCUUUUUAACAGCUUUUUCCAGAGUAUCAUUGUUAAAGGUCAUUAUCACAACUGAAGACAUGAGCUGGUACUUCAUGGAAAAAGCUAAGUGCUAUGAAUGAUUCAUUUAUCUAGCACCCCAUAUGCAAUGGCUUACUUCUGAAAGAAAAUUUGACUGAAAAUAAUAAGAAUAUCACACUUUUUUUCACGAUUAUGAUAA